GCAUGGGUUUGGAUUUAUGGCAGGUUUCCGAUCCCAUGGGCCUUCCACAGUGUCCCAUGCCAAAGCAUACUGUAACCGUGAACCAUUGCCUGGCUUUAUCCCAUGAGCUUAAGGCACUGAAGCGGGUUGCACGGUG
Small nucleolar RNA from Echinops telfairi (small Madagascar hedgehog), 136 nucleotides. RefSeq annotates it as small nucleolar RNA SNORA42/SNORA80 family. The record is from RefSeq and is a predicted model, not a curated record. NCBI's taxonomy places the organism in Eukaryota, Metazoa, Chordata, Mammalia, Afrosoricida, Tenrecidae. The transcript has a single exon.